This 274-nucleotide ribosomal RNA is filed under the name uncultured bacterium. RNAcentral describes it as "partial 16S ribosomal RNA". It matches the Rfam family "Bacterial small subunit ribosomal RNA", at positions 523 to 796 of the family's 1533-position model. The record is from RNAcentral.
AUACGGAGGCUGCAGGCGUUAUCCGGAUUUACUAGGUUUAAAGGGUCUGUAGGCUGUAUUAUAAGUCAGUGGUGAAAGCCUCUCGCUCAACGGGAGAACUGCCAUUGAUACUGUAGUACUUGAAUAUGGUUGCUGUGGGCGGAAUGCAUCAUGUAGCGGUGAAAUGCUUAGAUAUGAUGCAGAACACCAAUUGCGAAGGCAGCUCACAAAGCCAUUAUUGACGCUGAUAGACGAAAGCGUGGGUAGCGAACAGGAUUAGAAACCCCUGUAGUCC